AUUGAACGCUGGCGGCAUGCCUUACACAUGCAAGUCGAGCGGCAGAAGGGAGCCUUCUACUGGGUUGCGCGUGGGGCGGGGGAGUGUUGCCUAUCGGAAUACGUCCUGGUGGGGGAUAACGUCCGGCGACGGCCGCAUUUAUACCGCACGCGCUCUACGGAUGAAAGCGGGGGACUCGCACGCCACGCUCUCAGAUGUGCCUAGAUGGCAGAUUAGCUAGUUGGUGGGGUAAAGGCCUACCAAGGCGACGAUCAGUAGCUGGUCUGAGAGGACGACCAGCCACACUGGAACUGAGACACGGUCCAGACUCCUACGGGAGGCAGCAGUGGGGAAUAUUGGACAAUGGGCGAAAGCCUGAUCCAGCCAUGCCGCGUGUGUGAAGAAGGCCUUCGGAUUGUAAAGCACUUUUGGCCGGGAGGAAGGCCAGUACGUUAAUACCGUGCUGGUAUGACGGUACCAAAAGAAUAAGCACCGGCUAACUUCGUG
RNAcentral lists this ribosomal RNA (486 nucleotides) under uncultured bacterium. RNAcentral's name for it is "partial 16S ribosomal RNA". It matches the Rfam family "Bacterial small subunit ribosomal RNA", at positions 30 to 507 of the family's 1533-position model. The record is from RNAcentral.